GGAGGGUWCGAGCGUUGUCCGGAAUCACUGGGCGUAAAGGGCGCGUAGGUGGCUGGGGAAGUCGGCGGUGAAAGCCCGGAGCUCAACUCCGGGUCGGCCGUCGAGACUCCUCGGCUCGAGCUCACUAGAGGCAGAUGGAAUUCCGGGUGUAGCGGUGGAAUGCGUAGAGAUCCGGAAGAACACCGGUGGCGAAGGCGGUCUGCUGGGGUGAGGCUGACACUGAUGCGCGACAGCGUGGGGAGCAAACAGGAUUAGAUACCCUGGUAGUCCACGCCGUAAACGAUGGGCACUAGGUGCCUGGGGGAGCGACCCCCUGAGUGCCGGCGCUGACGCAUUAAGUGCCCCGCCUGGGGAGUACGGCCGCAAGGCUG
This 371-nucleotide ribosomal RNA is filed under the name uncultured bacterium. RNAcentral describes it as "bacterial SSU rRNA". It matches the Rfam family "Bacterial small subunit ribosomal RNA", at positions 527 to 896 of the family's 1533-position model. The record is from RNAcentral.